RNAcentral lists this ribosomal RNA (468 nucleotides) under uncultured bacterium. Its description in RNAcentral is "partial 16S ribosomal RNA". It matches the Rfam family "Bacterial small subunit ribosomal RNA", at positions 28 to 507 of the family's 1533-position model. The record is from RNAcentral.
GACGAACGCUGGCGGCGUGCUUAACACAUGCAAGUCGAACGGAAAGGCCCUGCUUUUGUGGGGUGCUCGAGUGGCGAACGGGUGAGUAACACGUGAGUAACCUGCCCUUGACUUUGGGAUAACUUCAGGAAACUGGGGCUAAUACCGGAUAGGAGCUCCUGCUGCAUGGUGGGGGUUGGAAAGUUUCGGCGGUUGGGGAUGGACUGGCGGCUUAUCAGCUUGUUGGUGGGGUAGUGGCUUACCAAGGCUUUGACGGGUAGCCGGCCUGAGAGGGUGACCGGCCACAUUGGGACUGAGGUACGGACCAGACUGCUACGGGAGGCAGCAGGGGGGAAUAUUGCAGAAUGGGCGGAAGCCUGAUGCAGCAACGCCGGGUGCGGGAUGACCGCCUUCGGGUUGUAAACCGCUUUCGCCUGUGACGAAGCGUGAGUGACGGUAAUGGGUAAAGAAGCACCGGCUAACUACGUG